UGCAAGUCGAACGGAGAUUCAGCAAUGGAUCGUUAGUGGCGAACGGGUGAGUAACGCGUAGGCAAUCUGCCUUCUAGAUGGGGACGAACAUCCCGAAAGGGGGUAGCUAAUACCGAAUGUUGUAUGAUCUUCGCAUGGAGAUGAUACUAAAGGUGGCCUCUGAAUAUGCUACCGCUAGAAGAUGAGCCUGCGUCUGAUUAGCUAGUUGGAGGGGUAACGGCCCACCAAGGCUUCGAUCAGUAGCCGGUCUGAGAGGAUGAACGGCCACACUGGGACUGAGACACGGCCCAGACUCCUACGGGAGGCAGCAGUGGGGAAUCUUCCGCAAUGGACGAAAGUCUGACGGAGCAACGCCGCGUGAGUGAAGAAGGUUUUCGGAUCGUAAAGCUCUUUCGUUAGGGACGAACGUGCUCUUUGUGAAUAAUGAGGAGUAAUGACGGUACCUAAAUAAGAAGCCACGGCUAACUACGUGCCAGCCGCCGC
Molecule: ribosomal RNA, 483 nt
Filed under: uncultured bacterium
Lineage: Bacteria
Description: bacterial SSU rRNA
Rfam family: Bacterial small subunit ribosomal RNA
Source: RNAcentral